Molecule: ribosomal RNA, 484 nt
Filed under: uncultured bacterium
Lineage: Bacteria
Description: partial 16S ribosomal RNA
Rfam family: Bacterial small subunit ribosomal RNA
Source: RNAcentral
AUUGAACGCUGGCGGCAGGCCUAACACAUGCAAGUCGAGCGGAUGAAGGGAGCUUGCUCCUGGAUUCAGCGGCGGACGGGUGAGUAAUGCCUAGGAAUCUGCCUGGUAGUGGGGGAUAACGUCCGGAAACGGGCGCUAAUACCGCAUACGUCCUGAGGGUGAAAGUGGGGGAUCUUCGGACCUCACGCUAUUAGAUGAGCCUAGGUCGGAUUAGCUAGUUGGUGGGGUAACGGCCUACCAAGGCGACGAUCCGUAACUGGUCUGAGAGGAUGAUCAGUCACACUGGAACUGAGACACGGUCCAGACUCCUACGGGAGGCAGCAGUGGGGAAUAUUGGACAAUGGGCGAAAGCCUGAUCCAGCCAUGCCGCGUGUGUGAAGAAGGUCUUCGGAUUGUAAAGCACUUUAAGUUGGGAGGAAGGGCAGUAAGUUAAUACCUUGCUGUUUUGACGUUACCAACAGAAUAAGCACCGGCUAACUUCGUG